AAAUCCUUAGCAUUCCUGGUAUUUCAAGCUGGAUUUUCAACAUUUCUCCCUCUCUCUCUUUCUGAUUAAUCUCUGUGUACAUCUGUUUCUGCAUUUAAGGGAGAAUAAUUCCUCUCCCUGACCUUGCAAAGAUGAUGUGACACACACGCGCGCGCACACACACACACACACACACACACACACACAUUGUAAUAUUAAUUAUGUCUCAGUAACACAGAUUUGCAUAUACAAGAAAAACAAAAUCUCUGACAUGCCCAGUUUAGGGUACAUAUGCAUAAUUUUUUUACUAAGUGGAUUGUUCACAAUUUUUGCUUUUAUAUCACAAAUGUUUUUAAUAGAGGUUUUUGGGUUUUUUUCUAUUACAGAAAGUAGUGUAUUUUUUCGCUUUUAUGAGUAACUUUCUACAGCUUUUAUGAUGCCCCCCUGGUCAGAAGCACACGCAGCUGAUAGCAGCAAUCAGUGCACCAACAAAUAACCAUGAUUCACAGCAUCUUUCAUGUUAGGGCUCACAGAUAAAUUCCCAGCACUUAGUAGAAAAUGCUUGUAAAAGGCAACUUCAUCAUUUCAGGACCAGGUAUAUUUGUAUCUGAAGAGAAAACAGGGCACAAGAUGAGUAACUGCUCAUCUUUCUCUGAUGCCUCUCAAGGUAUGAGCACAAGUGAAAUUGGCUUUUUGUUUGCAGAAGGUUUUUGCAAACUCUCUGAUUUGUGAGCAGAGUAUACAGGGUAGCAAGGACAGAGCAAUGGAAGAAAAUGGAAUAAAGAAAUAUUCCUUUCAGAUUUGCUGAAUCAUAGCUGAGGAUAAUGCAGUGAUAGCACCAAAAAAGUAUUCAGUGUUAAAAUGGCAUCACUGUGAAUACUCUUUUCCUAUCCGAAAUAGCUGCAUUUACUGGCCAAACCACUUCUACAAAGAAACAUCCUUCUUACUUUGGUACAUGGUGCAUCAGUGUGAAAAACAGGAGCUAUCCAAGAAGAAGGACAUCUCUACUCUCUUCCUACUUGUUGAGGAUGGACAGCAGAGUAAAUAUAUAACAGAAUGCUGGCUUUUUAUCUCUGGAAAAACCACAGCUUUGGUGUAUCUUCACUUGUUCAGCCUGACUUCUCUGCCUGGGGGAGACACCUUCUCUUAUGACUUGGCACGGUGUGAGCCCAGCAGAUGGACAGAAGCAGCCAAAAGCCAGUGCUCUAUGUACAUUUAGGGUGUUUGCCAACAGCAGGAUUCUCAAACACGAAUUUUUAACCAGCUGUCCAUCCUAAAAUGAUAACUUUAUCUUUAAACUGAUACAACACUACUAAUUCAGCUUUGGGAUAUUUCUACUUCAAAAAUUAGUAACUGCCAAAGUGUGCAAGGAAAGCUUUCAUUUUGGCUUCGUUUGGGUUUCAUAUGUGUUUUUAUUCUGUGGGGCAUAUGAGCUGCAACAUGGAAAUAUACAUAAGACUUGAGUCUUUGGACACUGUGUCCUGGACAUUUUCUCCUGUUUGAUCCUGUGCAAAUAUCCCUUACUAAACACAGCUGAAACUGCUGGGACAUGUUUGGAAGCCAGGCCAAGUUGAAUGGUGUCAUUUCACCACAAAUAGACAUAUUCAUGCAGCAGACAAAGGCAGUUUAAAUUUCACUGUCCACCGAGGACAUCAACCCCUCCUAACUGUCAUAUUCAACAGGAUCAAGGGGGAUAAAAUGUUAGGAUUAUUCCCAAUUUCCUGAAGAUACUACAAAAAUCUAGCUGCUCCUCCCAAAGUCUUUUUGUCUUUUGAGUCAAAGUAUUGUGUACUGAGCCUGUUUGGUUCUGUCAAGAAGAGCAGGAGUUUUUUAUUCUCUUUAAACAUCUGUGAUAAAUAUUUGAUCUGUGACAUUCUGGUUCUGGGGAAUAUCACCAACAGGGAUGCUAAAAAAAAUAUUUUGAUUGUAAGCAGAGUGCUGCUAAGCAUUUUUGGAAGAAGAGAUGCUUUUCAAAGAAGCACAGUUUCCACAGAAGGUAAUAAUUUAUGUGAUCAGAGGAGCUGUGACUUUUGUGCCCUGUAUUCUCAUCUUCUUGCUUCCAGUGCUUGGUGACACUUGUCCUGUCACCUACUCUCUUCCUACUCUGAUAUAAUCACUUAUGAAAUAUUGCAAUAAUUUUAAUUACCAUUUAAAGGAACUUGUUGAGAAUUAACUCUCAUUUACACAUGCUUUGGGGUUCUAGCUGGAAAAUGCUAGCAGAAUGGUGUACAGUGUUUGAUGAGAGUGAAUUCAUAUUUCUGUUUUCAUGGAAUGUUUGUCAUAACAGUCUAUCCACGAGGACUACUGAGAAGUAUAUUUUAUACCUGUAAUAUAAAUCAUGACUGGGUAAUACUAAGCCUACAGCACAGAAUAUUUCAAUAAAAAUUAAGAACAUUUGAUAACCUGGA
Long non-coding RNA from Zonotrichia albicollis (white-throated sparrow), 2387 nucleotides. The record is from Ensembl. Lineage: Eukaryota; Metazoa; Chordata; Aves; Passeriformes; Passerellidae.